This is a long non-coding RNA of Hibiscus syriacus, 632 nucleotides long. RefSeq lists it as uncharacterized. The transcript has 3 exons. The record is from RefSeq and is a predicted model, not a curated record. NCBI's taxonomy places the organism in Eukaryota, Viridiplantae, Streptophyta, Magnoliopsida, Malvales, Malvaceae.
UGUGGUUCGAAAUCAGAGGGAAGAGAGAGAGUUUUCUAACUCUCUCAACUCCCUCAAUCGGGGAAGAGAAAGGUCAUCGCCGCCGGUGGCGUUCACGGCGACCCACGGUGACCGGAGAAAGGCAACCACCCAAAAAAUUUUCUCUCCUCACCUUCAACUUGAAACCCAAACUAUUUUAGCCUAAAACUCCCUUUAAACCCCCUAGAUAUAAGUUUUACCUUCCGAAUACUCGAAGUUUCCGACGACCUUUAGGAUUCCGGCUUCUUGCACUAAGGGUUGAUAGUUGGUGAUAAUAGUGAACUCUCCUGAGUAGGGGCAUGGUUCUCUGAUCUUGAUGACGAUGGGGCGGUUGAAAUGGCGGUCGGAUCGUCGGGAACGGGCCGGAACAGUGGUGGUGGUGCGGCUGGAUUAGGGUUUAAAAACCCUAAUUAUUCUAGGUUGCUGAGUUAGGCCCGGGUCGAGUCUGGAUCGGGUAUGGAUCCUGGGUCAGGUCUGAAUUCUCUUGUAGUGGGUUGUUGGGCUUCAGGUUGAUGUUAUGGUUGGGCUUAUAUGUUGGGCUUCGUUUGUAAACUGGGCUCAGGGUGAGGGCCUGCAAAAAUUAUUAAAAAUAAUAAUAAUAAUAUUUUUUAAGA